UGGGGAGUCGUCAAGUGGUUAAGACACUGGGUUUUGAUCCCAGUAUGCGUAGGU
This 54-nucleotide transfer RNA is filed under the name Snodgrassella alvi SCGC AB-598-J21. Its description in RNAcentral is "partial tRNA-Gln". It matches the Rfam family "tRNA", at positions 1 to 52 of the family's 71-position model. From Rfam's summary of the family: Transfer RNA (tRNA) molecules are approximately 80 nucleotides in length. Their secondary structure includes four short double-helical elements and three loops (D, anti-codon, and T loops). The record is from RNAcentral. Lineage: Bacteria; Pseudomonadati; Pseudomonadota; Betaproteobacteria; Neisseriales; Neisseriaceae. RNAcentral also lists the same sequence under 1 other name.